CAUCAUUAGCUUUUCUUGGGAUCUCAAAGGACCCUGUGCAGCAGGCCACUAUUUGAAUGUGUGUUGCUCCUUGUGGCAGGUAUACUGUUCCAAUGCCCUGGGAUCUCUGUAGUGGUCGGUACUGUAUUGAUUAUAAAUGGUGAAGUCCUAGUAUCUUGCUAGAGUGAGCUGGCCAGGAUGGUGGAGCUCUACCACCAUUUCACAGGUUAUAGACAGGGGCCACCAGGUUUCAGGAAAGCAGCAAUGACCCCUCAGUAAUAGUUGGAAAGUGUGAUAUGACACUGAGCUUCACUGUGUUGGUGAAGAAGAGCUGCAGUUUGCCUCCACCUCUGAAGAAGCACAAUACACCUUUCUGGGUUACCAAUGGGAUACUUCCCAACAGCUUUGUCAUCACAUACAAUAUUCUCAAACAAGAUCUUAAUGGCAUCUACUUUCUCCAGGAACACAGCCCCUGACCUGUGUGUGUUUGCGUAGAGAAGGCAUGCUAUGUACCCCCUAGGAUAUCAAGAUUCCUGUAGCAGAUUGAGCUCUGGCAGUUGAUCUCAGUGGCUUGAUAGAGUGUCAUUAUAAAAACGCACCUGGAAGAUUCUGUGGAAAAGACAACCUCAGAAGACCAAGGAAUCUGCCCACCACUCAAGCCUGGGAAAGCUGGCAGAGGAUGCACGUGUUUUACUCACCUGAGUGUUUACAAUGCUCGUGAGGUGCCUCCCUGAUAUUUUUAUAGCAGAAUGGAGAAACACAACCAAGGAGAUACACCUAAGUAACAACAGCAAUGAUGUCAAAAAGAGUGCCUGAAUACUUAGGGUGGAGGUCCUGGACAUGCAAACCCAAGCUUCCUCUUUGCUGUGGCCAGGAAUCUGCAGUGAUUGAGAGCACAGACUGUAUCUAAAAUUCCACCUUUCAAAGUUCAGCAUAUUACUUUUUUUUUUCUUACACCUAUAAGUACAGAGGAAUGAAGAAGGAAUAAACAGACCUUCUGGAUAAUUGCAUCAGCCUUCCCCACUAUUCCAAUGCCAUGCUAACAUUUCAAGUAAUGUCCCUUUUGUCUUGCUGAGAAAAAAUCAUUUCAUGAUUUAUUACACUGGAUUAAAGGCUAUGCACACUCUGGAGUUGGAACAUGACUGAAGGGCAAGCAAGCAUAAAGGAUAUCAGAAACAGUUGAUGUGUUUAAAUUUUUCUGAAUUUCUCAAGUAAACUUUUUAGAAAGUAGUCUGAAGAUAAAAUGGUUAUAUAAGUUACUUAAACUGUAGAUGAUGGCACCUUUAUCCCUAUAUAAUAAAAUUAAGAUUUGUAGGUUAAACCUUGGAUAUUCCCAUCUGAGCAUCUGUACCAAACAGAAAAGACCUGUGUGAGUUCCUGAGAACCAGUGCUCAUUCCAGAAGAGACAGGUUUCUCUCCAGGAAGAAAUGUCUGAAAUUCAGUGAAUUAAAAUCCUCAUUGAGUCU
This is a long non-coding RNA of Homo sapiens (human), 1445 nucleotides long. Ensembl annotates it as long intergenic non-protein coding RNA 616. Lineage: Eukaryota; Metazoa; Chordata; Mammalia; Primates; Hominidae. The record is from Ensembl.